RNAcentral lists this ribosomal RNA (467 nucleotides) under uncultured bacterium. Its description in RNAcentral is "partial 16S ribosomal RNA". It matches the Rfam family "Bacterial small subunit ribosomal RNA", at positions 28 to 506 of the family's 1533-position model. The record is from RNAcentral.
GACGAACGCUGGCGGCGUGCUUAACACAUGCAAGUCGAACGGAAAGGCCCUGCUUUUGUGGGGUGCUCGAGUGGCGAACGGGUGAGUAACACGUGAGUAACCUGCCCUUGACUUUGGGAUAACUUCAGGAAACUGGGGCUAAUACCGGAUAGGAGCUCCUGCUGCAUGGUGGGGGUUGGAAAGUUUCGGCGGUCGGGGAUGGACUCGCGGCUUAUCAGCUUGUUGGUGGGGUAGUGGCUUACCAAGGCUUUGACGGGUAGCCGGCCUGAGAGGGUGACCGGCCACAUUGGGACUGAGAUACGGCCCAGACUCCUACGGGGGGCAGCAGGGGGGAAUAUGGCACAAGGGGCGGAAGCCUGAUGCAGCAACGCCGGGGGCGGGAGGCCGGCCUUCGGGUUGAAAACCGCUUUCCCCUGUGACGAAGGGGGAGUGACGGUAAUGGGUAAAGAAGCACCGGCUAACUACGU